This 72-nucleotide transfer RNA is filed under the name Fukomys damarensis (Damara mole-rat). It matches the Rfam family "tRNA". From Rfam's summary of the family: Transfer RNA (tRNA) molecules are approximately 80 nucleotides in length. Their secondary structure includes four short double-helical elements and three loops (D, anti-codon, and T loops). Lineage: Eukaryota; Metazoa; Chordata; Mammalia; Rodentia; Bathyergidae. The record is from Rfam by way of RNAcentral.
GGGGGUGUAGCUCAAUGAUAAAGCACUCACCUAGCAUGUGCAAGGCCCUAGGUUCAAUCCCCAGCACUUCCA